This 313-nucleotide ribosomal RNA is filed under the name uncultured bacterium. Its description in RNAcentral is "bacterial SSU rRNA". It matches the Rfam family "Bacterial small subunit ribosomal RNA", at positions 28 to 334 of the family's 1533-position model. The record is from RNAcentral.
GACGAACGCUGGCGGCGUGCCUAACACAUGCAAGUCGAACGGAGCAGAUCCCUUCGGGGGUUUGCUUAGUGGCGAACGGGUGAGUAACGCGUGAGGAACCUGCCUUUCAGUGGGGGACAACAGUUGGAAACGACUGCUAAUACCGCAUAAUGCUUUGUAGGCGGCACUCGACUUGAAACGACCAAAGUAUUUAUCGCUGAAAGAUGGUCUCGCGUCUGAUUAGCUAGUUGGUGAGGUAACGGCUCACCAAGGCGACGAUCAGUAGCCGGUCUGAGAGGAUGAACGGCCACAUUGGGACUGAGAUACGGCCCAG